GGCAGGAAGAUGUCCAAGUCCCGUGCGGCGGAGGCAGCAGCGGGGGUGACAGCGACGGCCCCGAGCCCGCAGAUAGUGGAGCAGAGGGGUCCAGGGAGGCGCUGCACCGACGUUGGGGAGAAUGUAUGUCCUGGCAAUCAAAGAUCUUUUCCUCCGUGAGCCUAACAAAUGCUCUGGAAUGUGUUCCAGCCUUCAGGAGGAGAACUCCGUUACACGUCACGAAGUCAAAUGCCAGGGGAAACCAUUAGCUGGAAUCCACAGGAAAAGAAUGCAACACGGAGCACGAAGCCCAAGCACAGAAGAUCAAAGACGCCAGGAGAGGACCCCUCGCACCUUUUCCAAACCAAAAAUGUGAAGCAGCAGAACUUCCAAAACCUCCGGCCUCGUCUUGUGAUUCCACCAAUGCAGCCAUCGCCAAGCAAGCCUUGAAAUAGCCCAUCAAGGGCAAACAGGCCCCCGAAAAAAAGCUCAAGGAAAAGUCGCAAACUCACGGAUUUCUACCCUGUCCCAAGGAGCUCCAGGAAGGGCAAAGCGGAGCUGCAAUUUGAAGAAAGGGAAAGAAUAGAUGAAUUGGUUGAAAGCGGAAAGGAAAGAAGGAGUGAAGACUGACCUCAUCAAUGACAAAGGCCGGGUGUGAACACCAGAGGGAGCUCUCCCGGGGCGCCUUUGUGGUAGAAAAGCACCGGAGCCUCACGGAGAUCACCGACG
RNAcentral lists this long non-coding RNA (708 nucleotides) under Homo sapiens (human). RNAcentral's name for it is "non-protein coding lnc-SEC62-2:5". Lineage: Eukaryota; Metazoa; Chordata; Mammalia; Primates; Hominidae. The record is from RNAcentral.